GCUGGGUGUGGUGGCUCAUGCCUGUAAUCCCAGCACUUUGGGAGGCUGAGAUGGGAGGAUCACUUGAGGCCAGGAGUUUCAGACCCGCCUGGUCAAUAUAGUGAGACCCCAUCUCUA
Molecule: signal recognition particle RNA, 117 nt
Filed under: Homo sapiens (human)
Lineage: Eukaryota; Metazoa; Chordata; Mammalia; Primates; Hominidae
Description: Metazoan signal recognition particle RNA
Rfam family: Metazoan signal recognition particle RNA
About the family: The signal recognition particle (SRP) is a universally conserved ribonucleoprotein. It is involved in the co-translational targeting of proteins to membranes.
Source: Rfam by way of RNAcentral